RNAcentral lists this ribosomal RNA (492 nucleotides) under uncultured bacterium. RNAcentral describes it as "partial 16S ribosomal RNA". It matches the Rfam family "Bacterial small subunit ribosomal RNA", at positions 29 to 507 of the family's 1533-position model. The record is from RNAcentral.
AGUGAACGCCGGCGGUAGGCCUAACACAUGCAAGUCGAACGGCAGCACAGUAAGAGCUUGCUCUUACGGGUGGCGAGUGGCGGACGGGUGAGGAAUACAUCGGAAUCUACUUUUUCGUGGGGGAUAACGUAGGGAAACUUACGCUAAUACCGCAUACGACCUACGGGUGAAAGCAGGGGAUCUUCGGACCUUGCGCGAUUGAAUGAGCCGAUGUCGGAUUAGCUAGUUGGCGGGGUAAAGGCCCACCAAGGCGACGAUCCGUAGCUGGUCUGAGAGGAUGAUCAGCCACUCUGGAACUGAGACACGGUCCAGCCUCCUACGGGAGGCAGCAGUGGGGAAUAUUGGACAAUGGGCGCAAGCCUGAUCCAGCUAUACCGCGUGGGUGAAGAAGGCCUUCGGGUUGUAAAGCCCUUUUGUUGGGAAAGAAAAGCAGCAGGUUAAUACCCCGCUGUUCUGACGGUACCCAAAGAAUAAGCACCGGCUAACUUCGUG